RNAcentral lists this ribosomal RNA (915 nucleotides) under uncultured marine archaeon. RNAcentral's name for it is "bacterial SSU rRNA". It matches the Rfam family "Archaeal small subunit ribosomal RNA", at positions 1 to 922 of the family's 1478-position model. The record is from RNAcentral.
UUCCGGUUGAUCCUGCCGGAGGCUACCGCUAUUGGAGUUCGAUUAAGCCAUGCGAGUCGAGAGUCUUAGGGACUCGGCGCACCGCUCAGUAACACGUGGGUAACCUGCCCUAUGCUGGGGGAUAACCUCGGGAAACUGAGAAUAAUACCCCAUAGUUCACCACGCCUGGAACGGUGGGUGGACCAAAGCUCCGGCGGCAUAGGAUGGGCCUGCGACGUAUCAGGUUGUAGGGGGUGUAACGUACCCUCUAGCCAUCAACGCGUACGGGUGUUGGGAGACAUAGCCCGGAGAUGGAUUCUGAGACACGAAUCCAGACCCUACGGGGUGCAGCAGGCGCGAAAACUUGGCAAUGCGAGCAAUCGUGACCAGGGAACUCCAAGUGGCUGGGGUAAUACCCAGUUUUUUCUUGACUCUUCAAAGGUCUUGGAAUAAGGGGUGGGUAAGGACGGUGCCAGCCGCCGCGGUAAUACCGGCGCCUCAAGUGGUAGUCGCUUUUAUUGGGCCUAAAACGUCCGUAGCCGGUCUGGUACAUUCGUGGGUAAAUCAACCCGCUCAACGGGUUGAAUUCUGCGAGCACGGCCAGACUUGGGACCGGGAGAGGUGUGGGGUACUCUCAGGGUAGGGGUAAAAUCCUGUCAUCCUGAGAGGACCACCUGUUGCGAAGGCGCCACACUAGAACGGAUUCGACGGUCAGGGACGAAACCUAGGGGCACGAACCGGAUUAGAUACCCGGGUAGUCCUAGGUGUAAACGCUGUGGACUUGAUGUUGGGGGCGCUCCGAGCGCUUUCAGUGUCGAAGCGAAGGUGAUAAGUCCACUGCCUGGGGAGUACGGUCGCAAGGCUGAAACUUAAAGGAAUUGGCGGGGGAGCACUGCAACCUGAGGAUUGUGCGGUUUAAUUGGAUUCAACGCCGGA